RNAcentral lists this ribosomal RNA (1270 nucleotides) under metagenome. RNAcentral's name for it is "SSU rRNA". It matches the Rfam family "Eukaryotic small subunit ribosomal RNA", at positions 482 to 1777 of the family's 1831-position model. The record is from RNAcentral.
AAUGCGGGACUCUAAGAGGCCCCGUAAUUGGAAUGAGUACACCUUAAAUCGUUUAACGAGUAUCAAUUGGAGGGCAAGUCUGGUGCCAGCAGCCGCGGUAAUUCCAGCUCCAAUGGCGUAUAUUAAAGUUGCUGCAGUUAAAAAGCUCGUAGUUGGAUCUGGGGCUUGAGGUCGCUGUCUAUCGUUUCGGCGAUGACGGUGAUGCUCAGCUCUGCUUGCCGGUGACUGUUGCGGUGUUCUUCACUGAGCGCUGUAGCAGCACGGCACGUUUACUUUGAAAAAAUUAGAGUGCUCAAAGCGUGCUUGUCGCUUGAAUAAUGUUGCAUGGAAUAAUGGAAUAGGACCUCGGUCCUAUUUUGUUGGUUUUCAGCUUGAGGUAAUGAUUAAGAGGGACGAACGGGGGCAUUCGUAUUGCGGUGUUAGAGGUGAAAUUCUUGGAUCGCCGCAAGACGGACUACUGCGAAAGCAUUUGCCAAGAACGCUUUCAUUAAUUAAGAACGAAAGUCAGAGGUUCGAAGACGAUCAGACACCGUCCUAGUUCUGACCAUAAACGAUGCCGACCAGCGAUCCGUAGUGGUUGCUUUAUGGACCCUACGGGCAGCCUCCGGGAAACCAAAGUAUUUGGGUUCCGGGGGAAGUAUGGUUGCAAAGCUGAAACUUAAAGGAAUUGACGGAAGGGCACACCAGGAGUGGAGCCUGCGGCUUAAUUUGACCCAACACGGGAAAACUCACCCGGUCCGGACACCGUAAGGAUUGACAGACUGAUAGCUCUUUCUUGAUUCGGUGGAUGGUGGUGCAUGGCCGUUCUUAGUUGGUGGGGUGAUUUGUCUGGUUAAUUCCGAUAACGAACGAGACUCUAGCCUGCUAAGUAGUGUUGCUAUUGUUAUAUGGUUGACACUUCUUAGAGGGACAAGUGGCAUUUAGCCACGCGAAAUUGAGCAAUAACAGGUCUGUGAUGCCCUUAGAUGUCCGGGGCCGCACGCGCGCUACACUGGAGAAGUCAGCGUGUGUUAUCCAAGUCCGAAAGGACUGGGUAAUCCGUUGAACCUUCUUCGUGCUUGGGACUGUGGCUUGGAACUAUUCCACAUGAACGAGGAAUUCCUAGUAAUUGCAAGUCAUAAGCUUGCGUUGAUUACGUCCCUGCCCUUUGUACACACCGCCCGUCGCUACUACCGAUUGAAUGGUUUAGCAAGGUCCUCGGAUCGUGGCCGUAGGGGCACGCAAGUGUUUCUGCGGUUUGCGAGAAGACGACCAAACUUGAUCAUUUAGA